RNAcentral lists this ribosomal RNA (576 nucleotides) under uncultured bacterium. RNAcentral describes it as "bacterial SSU rRNA". It matches the Rfam family "Bacterial small subunit ribosomal RNA", at positions 10 to 562 of the family's 1533-position model. The record is from RNAcentral.
AGUUUGAUCAUGGCUCAGAGCUGAACGCUGGCGUGUAAGGCCUAACACAUGCAAGUCGAACGGCAGCACAGGAGAGCUUGCUCUCUGGGUGGCGAGUGGCGGACGGGUGAGCGAAUACAUCGGACAUCUACUUUUUCGUGGGGGAUAACGUAGGGAAACUUACGCUAAUACCGCAUACGACCUACGGGUGAAAGCAGGGGAUCUUCGGACCUUGCGCGAUUGAAUGAGCCGAUGUCGGAUUAGCUAGUUGGCGGGGUAAAGGCCCACCAAGGCGACGAUCCUGUAGCUGGUCUGAGAGGAUGAUCAGCCACACUGGAACUGAGACACGGUCCAGACUCCUACGGGAGGCAGCAGUGGGGAAUAUUGGACAAUGGGCGCAAGCCUGAUCCAGCCAUACCGCGUGGGUGAAGAAGGCCUUCGGGUUGUAAAGCCCUUUUGUAGGGAAAGAAAUCCAGCUGGCUAAUACCCGGUUAGGGAUGACUGGUAUCCAAAGAAUAAGCACCGGCUAACUUCGUGCCCAGCAGCCGCGGUAAUACGACAGGGGUGCAAGCGUUUACUCGGGAAUUACUGGGCGUA